AAAAAGCUCGUAGUUGAACUUUGGGUUUGGUUGGCCCGUCCGAUUUUCUUCGUGUACGGGAUCCAACCGAACCUUUCCUUCUGGCUAACCUAGGGUACUUGUAUCCUAGGCGAACCAGGACUUUUACUUUGAAAAAAUUAGAGUGUUCAAAGCAGGCGCAAGCUCGAAUAUAUUAGCAUGGAAUAAUAGAAUAGGACGUUUGGUUCUAUUUUGUUGGUUUCUAGGACCAUCGUAAUGAUUAAUAGGGACGGUCGGGGGCAUCAGUAUUCAAUUGUCAGAGGUGAAAUUCUUGGAUUUAUUGAAGACUAACUACUGCGAAAGCAUUUGCCAAGGACGUUUUCAUUAAUCAAGAACGAAAGUUAGGGGAUCGAAGAUGAUCAGAUACGCCGUAGUCUUAACCAUAAACUAUGCCGA
Molecule: ribosomal RNA, 414 nt
Filed under: Eremothecium coryli
Lineage: Eukaryota; Fungi; Ascomycota; Saccharomycetes; Saccharomycetales; Saccharomycetaceae
Description: SSU rRNA
Rfam family: Eukaryotic small subunit ribosomal RNA
Source: RNAcentral